GACGAACGCUGGCGGCGUGCUUAACACAUGCAAGUCGAACGGAAAGGCCCUGCUCUUGUGGGUUUCUCGAGUGGCGAACGGGUGAGUAACACGUGAGUAACCUGCCCUUGACUUUGUGAUAACUUCAGGAAACUGGGGCUAAUACCGGAUAGGAUCUCCUGCUGCAUGGGGGGGGUUGGAAAGUUUCGGCUGUGGGGGCUGGACUCGCGGCUUAUCAGCUGGUUGGGGAGGUAGUGGCUUACCAAGGCUUUGACGGGUAGCCGGCCUGAGAGGGUGACCAGGGACCUUGGGCCUGCGGUAGGGACCAGAAUGCUACGGGACGCAGUAGUGGAGAAUCUUACACAAUGAGGGGACGUGUGAUGCAGAAACGCCGGGUGCGGGAUGCCCGGUUUCGAGGUAUAAACCGCUUUCGACUGUGCCGUAGAGUGAGUGACGGUAAUGAGUAAAGAAGCAACGGCUAACUACGUG
Molecule: ribosomal RNA, 468 nt
Filed under: uncultured bacterium
Lineage: Bacteria
Description: partial 16S ribosomal RNA
Rfam family: Bacterial small subunit ribosomal RNA
Source: RNAcentral